RNAcentral lists this ribosomal RNA (206 nucleotides) under uncultured bacterium. RNAcentral's name for it is "partial 16S ribosomal RNA". It matches the Rfam family "Bacterial small subunit ribosomal RNA", at positions 568 to 774 of the family's 1533-position model. The record is from RNAcentral.
CACGUAGGCGGACUGUUUAGUCAGAGGUGAAAUCCCGGGGCUCAACCUCGGAAUUGCCUUUGAUACUGGCAGUCUUGAGUCCGAGAGAGGUGGGUGGAAUUCCGAGUGUAGAGGUGAAAUUCGUAGAUAUUCGGAGGAACACCAGUGGCGAAGGCGGCUCACUGGCUCGGUACUGACGCUGAGGUGCGAAAGCGUGGGAGCAAACA